GGACUCCACUGCUAUCGGGGUAAGGCUAAGCCAUGCAAGUCGAAGGCCUCCGGCUCCGGGGGCCUGGCGUACGGCUGAGUAACGCGUGGCCAACCUGCCCUGCGGAGGGGGAUAACCCCGGGAAACUGGGGAUAAACCCCCAUAGGUGACCGGCUCUGGAAAGACCGGUCGCCGAAAGUCCCGGUCGGGGACGCUCCGGCCGGGAGCCGCAGGAUGGGGCUGCGUCCUAUCAGGUAGUUGGUGGGGAACGGCCCACCAAGCCUGUGACGGGUAGGGGCCCUGAGAGGGGGAGCCCCCAGAUGGACUCUGAGACAAGAGUCCAGGCCCUACGGGGCGCAGCAGGCGCGAAACCUCCGCAAUGGGCGAAAGCCCGACGGGGUUACCCCGAGUGCCACCCUCGUGGUGGCUUUUGCCCGCUCUAAAAAGGCGGGCGAAUAAGGGGAGGGCAAGUCGGGUGUCAGCCGCCGCGGUAAUACCCGCUCCCCGAGUGGUGGAGGCUAUUACUGGGCCUAAAGCGCCCGUAGCCGGCCCGGUGUGUCCCUCGUUAAAUCCACGGGCUUAACCCGUGGGCUGCGGGGGAUACUACCGGGCUUGGGGGUGGGAGAGGCGCCCGGUAUUCCCGGGGUAGGGUAAAAUCCUCUG
Molecule: ribosomal RNA, 642 nt
Filed under: uncultured crenarchaeote
Lineage: Archaea; Thermoproteati; Thermoproteota
Description: bacterial SSU rRNA
Rfam family: Archaeal small subunit ribosomal RNA
Source: RNAcentral